RNAcentral lists this ribosomal RNA (301 nucleotides) under uncultured bacterium. RNAcentral describes it as "partial 16S ribosomal RNA". It matches the Rfam family "Bacterial small subunit ribosomal RNA", at positions 509 to 809 of the family's 1533-position model. The record is from RNAcentral.
CAGCCGCCACGGUAAUACGUAGGUGGCAAGCGUUGUCCGGAAUUAUUGGGCGUAAAGGGCUCGCAGGCGGUUUCUUAAGUCUGAUGUGAAAGCCCCCGGCUCAACCGGGGAGGGUCAUUGGAAACUGGGAAACUUGAGUGCAGAAGAGGAGAGUGGAAUUCCACGUGUAGCGGUGAAAUGCGUAGAGAUGUGGAGGAACACCAGUGGCGAAGGCGACUCUCUGGUCUGUAACUGACGCUGAGGAGCGAAAGCGUGGGGAGCGAACAGGAUUAGAGACCCCAGUAGUCCCUGUCUCUUAUAA